AGUGAACGCUGGCGGUAGGCCUAACACAUGCAAGUCGAACGGCAGCACAGUAAGAGCUUGCUCUUACGGGUGGCGAGUGGCGGACGGGUGAGGAAUACAUCGGACUCUACUUUUUCGUGGGGGAUAACGUAGGGAAACUUACGCUACUACCGCAUACGACCUACGGGUGAAAGCAGGGGAUCUUCGGACCUUGCGCGAUUGAAUGAGCCGAUGUCGGAUUAGCUAGUUGGCGGGGUAAAGGCCCACCAAGGCGGCGAUCCGUAGCUGGUCUGAGAGGAUGAUCAGCGACACUGGAAGUGAGACACGGUCCAGAGUCCUACGGGAGGCAGCAGUGGGGAAUAUUGGACAAUGGGCGCAAGCCUGAUCCAGCCAUACCGAGUGGGUGAAGAAGGCCUUCGGGUUGUAAAGCCCUUUUGUUGGGAAAGAAAAGCAGCAGGUUAAGACCCCGCUGUUCUGACGGUACCCAAAGAAUAAGCACCGGCUAACUUCGUG
Molecule: ribosomal RNA, 492 nt
Filed under: uncultured bacterium
Lineage: Bacteria
Description: partial 16S ribosomal RNA
Rfam family: Bacterial small subunit ribosomal RNA
Source: RNAcentral